Long non-coding RNA from Pteropus alecto (black flying fox), 2769 nucleotides. RefSeq lists it as uncharacterized. The transcript is spliced from 2 exons. Lineage: Eukaryota; Metazoa; Chordata; Mammalia; Chiroptera; Pteropodidae. The record is from RefSeq and is a predicted model, not a curated record.
GUUCAUUCAUUCCUAGAUAGUGGGGACCUGUUCUCUGCUGGAUGCUGGGGAGACUGCCAAACGAAACAGGCGAGCUUACAUUCUCGUGGCUUCUAAGGGGAGGGCCAGUCUGAAAGAAUGAGGGUUUUUGAGGAGUUUGGGGGCAAGUAAUAUCUUGCAGGGGUCUUGAGAGUCUCCCAGAGUCUAGGGGUCUUGGAGGUGCCUGACGGAUGUGCUGUGUCUAGGUAUGGGGGUGUGUCCAGAGAGGACAGGACCCUAAGAUUGGGCAUACCUGAGGUAUUGAGGAAUAGUUAUCGGAGGGGACGAGGUCUUUGAGAGAGGCGAUUGAUUUGAUCAAGUAUUUAUCGAACACCUUUUCCAGGCACAGAGCAUACAUUUCUGAACCAAACAGACUCCUUGCUCACACGGAACUUACAUUCUAGUGUUGGAGACAAACAUAAAUAAUAAAAUGUUAAGUAAUGCAAGCGCAGGAGAUAAAAAAGCAGGACAAGAAGGUCCAUAAAGGAUGGCGAAGUAGAGAGCUAUUUGAUAGGGUGGCCAGGGAAGGCUCUUGAGAGAAACGGUGGCUGGAACCAAAGGAGUCGAGUAGCUUUUUUAGUUUUUACUCUAAGUGUGCUGGGAAACCUGUCGGAGAGUUUUGAGUAGGAGUAACAUGAUAUGAUUUGUGUUUUAAAAAGAUCACUCGCUGUGCGGAGAGUAGGUUGAAGUGGGCAGAAGUGGAAAUAAGGAUUCCAGUUACGAGACUGCCAUGGUAAUUACUGCAGUAGUCCACUUGAGACAUCAGUAAUGGGGCUUGGGACUCUAAAGAAGGCGUCAGAUAUUUAUUCUGGAUAUAUUUUAAAGGGUGAGGGGACAGGUAUGAGAGGGAGACCUCCAGGAUGGCUGAGACUGGGCCUGAAGACAUAGGGGAGGUUGAUUUUAGGGACUGCCAUUUGAAGGAUUGGAGUGUUCGGAGGUCCUAAGUAUACUAGAAAGGUUGAUCUAAGGAGUUGUGGGCAGAAGGUAGUUUUCUUUGAGAUGGAGUGAGAUUGGUGAGGGUUGAACUGGAAUGUAGUAAGGGAACUGUUACAGGGAUAGGAAUGCUUUAUCAGAGGAGCGAUAGAGAAUGGAUGGGGGCUUCUGAGGAGGGGCAGAUCAAAGGCAGGGUUUGGAAUUCUUGGGAGGCUGGAGUUACUCUGAGAGUGGAGAUGUGAUGAACUCGGAGAACCUGGGAGGGAAGGAAGGGGUGAUCUGUAAUUUGGAAUCUGUAUUUGUAGAUAGUCUUACAGAGUUUUAGUGCUCUCGUGGCUGUUUUUCAACUGAGUCUCCCAGCAGCUCUCUGGGUAGGAAGGGCAGUGAUUCCCUCCCCUGUGUAGAGAGGAAGGGGGCUCUACAAAGCAGAUCGACUUGCCUCUAAGGGAACUUCAGGAGCGAUAGACCUCCGGGGGCUGGGGUUCCUUUGUGAAAUGGAAGGCGGCAGACUGCAUUCUGGCUACAGCUUUGCCUCUGAUGGUGAUGUUGGACCCAGGUUGUCUGAGAACUAGAAGGGAGAGUGAGUACCAUUAAAAUAGGCCUUCCUAGGGAACUCAUACAGUCUAGAGGUUAAAUACUGGGCUGUAUCUCUCAUACAGUGUUUUAAAUUAGUUGCCAGCAUUUACAGGUCUAGAGAAUUGGCCAAAUUUGGGACAAUUUGGGCAUCAGAAAGAAUAAAAUCAACUUUAAUAAUUUUUUUUUGUAACACCUACAGCACCUGGUAUUCCUAAGUGGUCUCCCAUCCGAGUACUAACCAGGACCAACCCUGCUUAUAUUUAAUAAUAUUUUGUAACUUAGAAUCCGUAAAGCCAAGCUAAUAUUCAAACGAGAAAUAACUUGUUUGUCUCUUUCGGAGGUUGAUUAUUAAUAAUGUGCCUUCUGAUGUGGUGAAAUGAGAACCUUAGUGCAUCAUCUUUGAAGUUUUCCUGUUGAAUAUCUUUGAAUCUUGUCAUGCUUUUAGAGAACAGAGGAACAAAUUAAAGGACACCAUUGGGGUAACGAUAAGACAGACAUCCAGAAUGUGGAGCUUUUUACACGACAGCUGCAUUGGUUCUAUUCCAAAAGUCAAUGUCAUGGAAAAAAAACAAGUGAAAGGACCGUCCUAGAUUUAGUAAAGAGGUGGGGACAAAUGCAAGUUUUCUCAUCAAGUGGAGGUAGUAAAAUCUACAAGAUUGUGGAGAACUAAACGAGACAAUAAUGCGAGACAAUAAUGUGUGUCCCUGCGUAAGCACAGAAAGGAUCCCGUAAAUUACAGCCGUAAUCACAGAAGAGGGGAAACUAAAAUGAAUUAAAUAAAUAAAAUGAAUUAGCAGUUGGAUGGAGCAGGAUUGUAGAUUUAAUUGAGAAGUACUGUACUGUUAAGUGAAGAAAGAAUAUUUCCAGAAGAAGAAAGUUGUCAGAUCUGCCAAAUGCCAAUGACCCCACCGAUUACUCCGCUGCACAGACAGGAAGCCUAGUUCUUGGUUCAUCCUGUCCCUUAUGCCCACCUUCAGUCUAUUGGGAAGUCCUGUCAGCUCUGCUUCGAACUUUCUCUCAUCUCCCUUUCUUCAUUCCUUAGUCCGAGACACACCCAUCAUUUCAGAUCACCUCAGCAGCCUCCUCACCCAUUCCCCCUGUUCCACUCGUGACUCUGUAAUCUGUUCUUCACACAGCAGCCAGCCAGAUUUAAAUUAAAAAAUCAGAUCACAGUGGUCUGGCUUACAGCCCUCCGGUGAUUUCCUGGUGUACUCAAUAAAAUCCAAAGCUGUUAAAAAUCCA